Non-coding RNA from Camelina sativa (false flax), 7190 nucleotides. The record is from RefSeq and is a predicted model, not a curated record. Lineage: Eukaryota; Viridiplantae; Streptophyta; Magnoliopsida; Brassicales; Brassicaceae.
AGAGAAAUCAUAAACAGUUCACAAACGCUCUUCACUUAUUCAGAGAGCGAGAGAGAGGGUUCGAUUAUAAUGGCGAUGCGGGAGAGAGGGUUCGAUUAUAAUGGCGAUGCGGGAGAGAGGGUUCGAUUAUAAUGGCGACGAGAGAGAGAGAGAGAGAGCAAACAGACAUGAAGAAGUCAGAGAGGAGGUAUCGUUUCGUGUUUCCUUCUUAAAUGGUUAAACCCUAAGGUCCGUGUUCGUGUUCCAACCAGGAAGAGCGAGACAGAGCGAGCGAGAGAGCGAGAGAGAGCGAACGGACUGAAGAAGUCAGAGGAGGUGUUGUGUCGUGUUCCAACCUGAAGGACAAUGACUUAGAUUCAGAACAAUUAAAGGGUCGCCGGCGUGUUCUUACAGUAUCAAACUGGUCGAUUAAAAAGGUACUCAAACUGGUCGAUUUAAAAGGUGAAACAGGUGUCGUUGUGUUCGUGUUCCAAUCAGGAUGGACGAUGAUUUAUUCGACUCAGAUUUUUCGUUGUCAGUCGUCGGCGUUCUAACACUAAGAGCUUUUUCUCAAAAAAUUUCACAAUCAUAUCAGAGAAUGAGAGUUUAGAGGUUCUCGGACUCGUUGGAGCCCAAGGUCAAUUCUAAUAAGAAGGGAUCUUUCUAUGAUUAUCUUCUUCUUCUUAGUCCUGAUAACUUCCCCUAAAGAUCUUCUUGGAGAUACUCGAAGACCUCGGCCUGUGAAGAGAGCUAAAUGGAUGGAGUCAAGAAGCAGGUUUCUUGAAAAGCUUGAAGCUAAAGUAUACGAUCGGAGAUAUGGUAUGGGUUUGAAGAUUGAAGAAGAUUCAGAACCAAAAAGGUUUAUGUUUCGUUUUGCAGGUUUGCAUAAAUUGGAUGUGGUUGAAAAAUGCUUGAAGCUAAGUUUAAGGUCUGAGUGAUGAGUUAAGAUAUGCGUACUAAAGAAUUAUUUUAUUGUUGGGACUUCAUUGAUGUGAGAUUCCAAACAUAGCUGUUACCUCUACCUAUCUGAUUCACGAGUAUCAAGCCAUUUAUAUGGUGCAAGACGAUGUCCUUUUGAAAGUGAGGAUGGGAUGACCUUGUUGUUUCCAUGGCGGGAAACUAGUGAACAUAGCACAGCUAGCUACUAGCUCGACGGCUCUACCAAUCUGAAGAAUUAGGGAUGAUGCCUGCACUGGAAUAAAUCCUCUUCUUUCACCAUCUGUUGUCCUUUUGCAAGUGAGGAUGGGAGGACCUUGUUGUUUCCAUGGCGUAUUUAUUGUCGUAUUUCUCAGUCGCCGGCGUUCUAACAGUAACUCACUAAGAGCGUUUUCUCAAAGUUUUACACAAUCAUAUCAGAGCACGAUACUCGUUGAAGCCGAAGAUCAAGUCUAAUAAGAAGGGACCUUUCUAUGAUUCUCUUCUUCGUCUUAGACCUGAUAACUUCCCUAAAGAUCUUCUUGGAGAUACUCGAAGAGCACGACCUGUGAAGAGAGCUCAAUGGAUGGAGUCAAGCAGGUUUGCAUAAAUUGAAUGUGUUUGAAAAGCUUGAAGCUAAGUAUAAGAUUGGAGAUAUGCUAUGGGUUUGAAGAAUGAUGAAGAUUCAGAACCAAAAGGAUACUCGAAGAACAUGGCCUGUGAAUGGAGUCAAGAAGCAGGACGGUAAUGUGUGGCUUGGUUGAGCUGUCAUGAUGUGUCUCUGGAGAUUUAGCACUUUGAGCCCAGUUGAUCUUUAUCUAUCCUCGUCUUCUUAGCUUCUAUCAUGUUGUUAGUCGAAGCUUUUCAAAAUGCCAGUGACAAGAGACUGCUUCAGCCCCCAGUAAUCAGCUUCGUGCUAGUUCUAGUUCUGACAUGACUAGUGAUCAUGGUGUUGCGAGGAACUACUGAAAUCUUUUGGUAGAGAGAAGUAGCUCAAUCGUCGACGCCAAGACUCCAUUGAUGCAAGCAAGUCAGACCACAUCAAACCAACAAAAAAAUUUGAGACUGAGCUUUUUACUUACAAUCACUCAAUACAUUCGCUUCAAUUCCCCAUCCAUAUAUGAGACUGAGUUUUUUUUGGUUUUGUUUUUCCUGCUUGUGCUUCUCUAGAUGAUGGAGAUAUUAUUAAGGAUGAUGCUGAGUCGUGGACACAAAUGAUGGUAAAAUCCUCUUCACUUACCGAAGUGGAACUCGCCGACAAGGCACCAAAAUUCAGACAAAACCCUUGAUUUUACUGAGCCAAAUGGAGUCCAGAAGCAGGUUUGAAUGGAAAGCUUGAAGCUAAAUGGGUGAUAUGCUAUGGGUUUGAAAAAUCAAGAAGAUUCAGAACCAAAAAGGUAACAACAUCAAAGUAAUAUAUCUUGAAGAAUUAGAGGGAGAAGAAUCUGAUUAUGGAGAUUAUGAUCAAUUGAUCAGAAUCAAGACUUCGAUGAUGAUGACGACGAUGUUGAAGAUGUCUGUUAAGCUCCUUACACAAAUUAAGUUCUUCACUCCAUAGCUCCAGUUUAUGCCUGCACCACAAAGAAGUUCACCACAUCUGCCAGAAUUCAAGGAAUUUCAUCUUCAAACAAGAGACAUCUCCAAUAGCAUCAACGAAAGUUUCUUAAGUGGAGAAUCCAAAUGUGGGACUCCGUGAUUACUUUGAGAGUUAUGAAAAGGCUGUUGAGAAAGCGUUGUUUCCACCUGGUAUUUAUAUUUUAGAGGUGUGUGUGUUCAUGUGUCCCAACAAGGACAAUGAUUAAUUGACUCAGAUUUUUUCAAGGAUGAAGUAGAUUCAUAACAAAAACGGUAGCCGGCUUUCUUACAGUAACAACAUGAAACUGAUCAAAAGGUGUGUGUUGCAGCUUCGCGCAGCUCUUGAAGUAUUUGUCAAUUCAUGACCGAUCACAGUAUUACACUAUUACCACAGGGAUCAAUGUUGUGGAGGAAAAGAGUCACAACAAUGGCUUCAGAGUAUCCUGAGGUUGAAGUGAGUCAUCUGUUGAUUGACACCGCUGCGAUGGAUCUUGUUCAGCACCCAUGACAGAUCUCGCAGCCGGAGGUUGUCUCAAUUGCCAAAAAUGUGCUUCAGCAAGCUGGAUCUUUGGAAGGAAUGGAAUUUAGCUUCCCGGGGAUGCCCAUUGAAAGAGCUGCUUUGGGAGUUCCCUUUCCGGAUCGCUGCAAAAGAAUGUGCUUUUUGGAUCCAUUGGAAGCUUCGUGCAGGUCUUGAACUCAUUACAAAUCUGAGACCUGCUAUAGUUCUGCCCUAGUCCACUGUUAGUGGAUGCUUUCGCCUUAAAGAGAGAGGUAGCAGAAGGUGUUGAUCUAAUGGUUGUAAAUGAGCUUACAUGAGGAUGAGGUUUUUGUUCUGGGGAGCCAAGGGCAUAAAGACCAAUGAAAAUGGCGAAGAAUUUGGGUUUAGUACUGAAAAGACCCACGGGGUGCUUGAUUGAAAAUCUCAGAUGACUUGGACUAAUAUUUUUAAGCAUUUCUUAUGUUCCGCAGAUUGAUUCGUUGCUCUUAUUGCCUUCAAGACUGCUCGGAAACGCAUAUAACACUGAUAUCAAAGCUAAUGUCUUGGAAGUAAGGCCACAAUAUUAUGGAUGAAAUGAGUAACAGCUCUAGCCUCUGAAUAUCCUGAUGUUGAGCUGUCACAUAUGUAUGUUGUCAAUGCUACGAUGCAGCUUGUUCGUGACUCCAAACAGUUUGACACCUUUGGGACAAACAACAUUUUUGGUGAUAUAUUGUCCGAUGAAGCUUCAAUGAUUACAGGAAGGAUAACAACAUUUUUGGUGAUAUAUUGUCCGAUGAAGCUUCAAUGAUUACAGGAAGGAUAACAACAUUUUUGGUGAUAUGUUAUCCGAUGAAGCUUCAAUGAUUACAGGAAGGAUAACAAUGCUGACUAGUCUCAGUGAUUCGGUGAAUAGAAAACAAUCUGAUCUUUGAGUAUGCAGAAGUACGAUCUUUGCUGAACAUACAUAAACCCGCCAUGUUUAAUGCAGGGACCUGGUCAACUUCUUGAUUCUUUGAAUUUCCAGGAUAAGGCAAACCAAUUGGCAACCAUUCUCAGCGCUGCAAUGCUUCUGAAAUACAGACUUGGAGAAGAAAGGCAGCCAAGAGGAUUGAAGAUAUAGUGUUGGUUGCUCUGAACACUGAGUCAAGAAUCAGGUUUGCAUAAGUUGGAUGUGUCUGAAAAGCUUGAAGCUAAGUAUAAAGUGUAUAUAGCUGAGGCUAUAAAAUUUGGGUGAAAUCGAAGACUAUUGUUGGCCAUCAAAUAUACAUUAGGAACCAAGUGAAGAGCCGAGAUGCUUGUUCUGUUGACUGGUGGACUCGAGUCUACUUGCAGAGCAAACUCAAAGGUCAAGAUUGUACAUGAUGAGCUAGUGAAAUUGAUUGGUGGAGGAGAAGUAAUUGGUACUCUCUGAUCUAAAGAGGAAGCAAAGAAGACGAGUCCCUGGAGAAGUCCUCUUCCGAUACAAUCAAAUUUGAUAGGUAUUUUUGGUGAAGAUUGCAAAACCAUCGAGACUUGUAUGUAUGAAGCCAAAACUAAGGUGUCUGCCACUGUUCUUAAUCACACGUUCUUGCUUCCUCAAUUCAGAUUCUCUCUCUCCUCCACGCCAGACGAGAGCUAUGGAGUUGGGUGAAAUCGAAGACUGUUGGUCAUGGAAGAUUCAUUACAGAAGGAUCCAAGUGAAGAGCCGAGAUGUUUGUUCAGUUGACUGGUGGACUCGAGAAGGCUGCUUGCAGAUCAAACUCAAAGGCCAAGCUUGUUACCCAAAGAAGCAGCAGGGAAAGUAUUCAAUUCUUAUUGCUGAACCACCAACCUUCAGAUAUCGCUAAAGCAAGGUCUAAAAGAAGCGAAAAGGAGUAAUCUAGAUAUUAUGGAUUCUGCAGGGAGGCUUCAGAUAGAUAAAGCCAAUGAUGGACGAAUUAAAAGACGUGCAGAAAUUUCUGUACCCCACAGAAGUGUUACUAGUUGUUGAUACCAUUACUGGACAAGAAGCUGCAGCUCUGGUGACAACAUUCAAUAUAUAGGAAUCACAGGAGCCAUUGUGGCAAAGCUAGAUGGUAUUUCAAGAGGUGGUUUUGAGCGUCAAUGAGGUAUAGGGAAAACCGAUUAAAGGAACGAAUCACACUUUUACCACUAAAAUAAACUGGUAGGACGUGGAGAGCGGAUGGAGGAUCUUGAACCCUUUUAUCAAGAUCGAAUGGCUGGGCGAAUUCUAGGAAAAGGGGUUAUGUGCUUUCAUUUGUAGAGAAGGCAACAGAAGUUAUGCGUCAAGAAGAUGCUGAAGAUCUACAGAAGAAGAUAAUGAGUGCAAAGUUCUGACUUCCAGUUAGACGAGUUGUAAUUCAGCUUCUCUCUACUGUCUCCCUCCACGCGAGACGAUAGCUAUGGAGUUGGGUGAAAUCGAAAACUUGAUGGCCAUGGAAGAUACACAUAACACUAGGAGCCAAGUGAAGAGUUUUUUCGUUGACUGGUGAACUCGAGGAGGCUGCAGGCUGCUUGCAGAUCAAACUCAAAGGCUAAGAUUGUACAUGAUGAGCUUGUGAAAUUGAUGUAUGGAGGAGAAGUAUCACUUUGCUAGCUUCAGGAGGAGUCUUGCAUGCUGAUUGCUGGAGAUGUAUACCGACCUGCUGCCAUCUAUCAACUUCUCAUUUUAGCUGAACAGAUAUUGAAAUUUUUACUUUUGAAGCAUUAUGUGCAUUCGUAGAAAUGGCUUAUUGAAGUGUGGCAUUACUUCAGAACGUUAUGUUGGCAGGGAUCGAUAUAUAUAUGCCAUCUCCAUUAAUUUAGAAAAGGUAACAUUUAUCCUCAUUAGUGAUUGGUACUAAAGCGAUCAGUAUUAUGUUUGCAGGAAAUGAACGAGAUUGAUGGCUAUGGACAGACUCAAAUCGAUCUUAAGGAGAUUGUGGAGAUUUUUCAAGAAAAAACUCAUGCGAAAUACAAGUGGUUUGAUCAGGAGACUCCCCGCCGCUGGUUUUUGAAGCAAUGAUUCCCCGUUCCGACCUUUUUAACAAAGAGAGUGGGUUUCUAGUUAAUGGAGAAGUCAAGAUUGUAGUCACAGUAGCUAUUUUUAAAAGUUGUUGGCAAAGCAGCUGUUGUAUUAGUGGAAUCUGAAGAUGAGUCUAUAGAGAAAGCAAGGCCUUUUAAAUGGCUCAUUUUCAAGUCUACGAAACAGAUCGUUACUGUUCAUCAAUGAGAACAACAAUCUUGAUAUUCUCAAGUUUCACUAGUAGAGCCAUUGAAGUUGUGUGGUUAUUUCAUAGCUUGUAGAUACAUAUUCAUGUCAGUAGCCAGUUAAAGCCAAGGAUACACACUAUGCUUUCAAGUCACAAUGCACUCAAGUUUAGACUUUCUUAAAUGGGCCAACAAAAUUGUAAAUUGGGUCGAAGUCUAAAGUGAAACCCAUAUAAUGGACAGAACGGAGAGGCGGCGGGGGGUGUGCGGUUGUUAGUGCCACUCAGGUAGGUCCUACUUCUAGGGUUUCACGCCCUCUACAAGUUUGAGGUAGUUUGAUUGCGGAGGAGGCUUCAACUUCAAUGGGGACUCUAGGCGAUAACAAGUUCACAUGGGUGAUACCAAACUUCUCCUCUCUGCAAUCUAGGGCCGUUUAUUCUGAUCAAUUCGUUAUGGGUGGCUGCAGAUGGUAUGAUGAUGAACUAUAUGUAUCAUCUUCUAAUGCUUUUCGUUCGAUUUGGUUUUUUUUUUUUUUUUUGCCUUUGUUUUGGUACGGUUCGUAUUCUUUUUUUGUUUUUCAAUGCAGGCGUCUUCUUGUCCAUCCUGAGGGAUUCAAUAAGUCUUGUCAUUUAUCUCUGUUUCUGGAUGUGGCUGACAAUAAAUCACUGCCACCUGGAUGGAGAAUACGUGCACGUUAUCUCCGAAGUGUUGUUAAUCAACAUUCUGAGAAAACCUCCAAACGAAACGGUUCCGACCAAAGAACCCACAUCUGAGGAAAGCAUGCAUGACUUUCUUGCUCAGCCUAAUCGAGACAUUGUGCCAACCACCACAGAGGCUAUCCAAUGAAGAUUUGGUGGAAGCAGACAAUGCACUAACAUACGUGAAAGUUUCGGGGUUUAAGGUGGAUUGGUUGGAGAAGAAUAGAUUUCCUUAUGAGGGACUCACUAAGUGUUUUCUAAACCAAGUAUCAACUAACUUGUCUUCUUUCAAGACUAUGUGAAUAGAUUUCUACUUGUUCCUGAGGCGAUAUAAAAGCCCAACUAAGUCCAUUGUGAUGCUGAAGCUUUACUAAAUG